This 477-nucleotide ribosomal RNA is filed under the name uncultured bacterium. RNAcentral's name for it is "partial 16S ribosomal RNA". It matches the Rfam family "Bacterial small subunit ribosomal RNA", at positions 29 to 507 of the family's 1533-position model. The record is from RNAcentral.
AUGAACGCUGGCGGCGUGCUUAACACAUGCAAGUCGAACGGGAAACCUUUUAUUGAAGCUUCGGCAGAUUUAGCUGGUUUCUAGUGGCGGACGGGUGAGUAACGCGUGGGUAACCUGCCCUAUACAGGGGGAUAACAACCAGAAAUGGUUGCUAAUACCGCAUAAGCGCACAGGGCCGCAUGGUCCGGUGUGAAAAACUCCGGUGGUAUAGGAUGGACUCGCGUUGGAUUAGCCAGUUGGCAGGGUAACGGCCUACCAAAGCGACGAUCCAUAGCCGGCCUGAGAGGGUGAACGGCCACAUUGGGACUGAGACACGGCCCAGACUCCUACGGGAAGCAGCAGUGGGGAAUAUUGCACAAUGGGGGAAACCCUGAUGCAGCGACGCCGCGUGAAGGAAGAAGUAUCUCGGUAUGUAAACUUCUAUCAGCAGGGAAGAUAGUGACGGUACCUGACGAAGAAGCCCCGGCUAACUACGUG